Molecule: ribosomal RNA, 320 nt
Filed under: uncultured eukaryote
Lineage: Eukaryota
Description: partial 18S ribosomal RNA
Rfam family: Eukaryotic small subunit ribosomal RNA
Source: RNAcentral
CCCUUAGAUGUUCUGGGCUGCACGCGUGCUACAAUGGCGCUUGCAACAAGUCUUGCCAACCCGAUAGGGUGAGCGGAUCUUUGAAGAGGCGUCGUGAUCGGGACAGUUGAUUGCAAUUAUUUGACUCAAACGAGGAAUUCCUUGUAAUCGCGAUUCAUCAUAUCGCGCUGAAUACGUCCCUGCCCUUUGUACACACCGCCCGUCGCUCCUACCGAUUGAGCGAUCCGGUAAAUGUUUUGGAUUGGUGCCGGGGCGGCUAGCUGCCGGUCGCUACGAAAUUUUGUGAACCUUAUCGCUUAGAGGAAGGAAAAGUCGUAACA